AAUAUUGGACAAUGGGCGAAAGGCUGAUCCAGCCAUGCCGCGUGUGUGAAGAAGGUCUUCGGAUUGUCAAGCACCUUAAGUUGGGAGGAAGGGCAGGAAGUUAAUACCUUGCUGUUUUGACGUUACCGACAGUAAUAGCACCGUGUAACUUCGUGCCAGCAGCCGCAGUAACACGAAGGGUGCAAGCGUUAAUCGGAAGUACUGGUGGUAAAUCACGGGUAGGUUGUUUGUUAAUUUGGACAUGAACGCCCCGGGCUCAACCUGGGAACUGCUUUCAAAACAGGCAAGCUAGAGUAUAGCAGAGGGUGGUGGAAUUUCCUGUGUAGCGAUGAAAUGAGUAGAUAUAGGAAGGAACGCCAGUGGCGAAGGCAACCACCUGGGCUAAUACUGACACUGAGGUGCGAAAGCGUGGGGAGCAAAC
Molecule: ribosomal RNA, 421 nt
Filed under: uncultured bacterium
Lineage: Bacteria
Description: partial 16S ribosomal RNA
Rfam family: Bacterial small subunit ribosomal RNA
Source: RNAcentral